Long non-coding RNA from Melanotaenia boesemani (Boeseman's rainbowfish), 284 nucleotides. RefSeq lists it as uncharacterized. The record is from RefSeq and is a predicted model, not a curated record. Lineage: Eukaryota; Metazoa; Chordata; Actinopteri; Atheriniformes; Melanotaeniidae. The transcript has 2 exons.
AAAAAAUGAAGAAGAAGAACCAUAGCAACAACUGGUAAAAAACGAAGAAGAAGAACCAUAGCAACAACCAGUAAAAAACGAAGAAGAACCAUAGCAACAACCGGUAAAAAAUGAAGAAGAAGAACCAUAGCAACAACCGAUAAAAAAUGAAGAAGAAGAACCAUAGCAACAACCGGUAAAAAAUGAAGAAGAAGAACCAUAGCAACAACCGGUAAAAAACGAAAGAGAAGAACCAUAGCACCAACAGGUAAAAAACGAAAGAGAAGAACCAUAGCACCAACAGG